CUAAAUAAUUAAGGGCUUACGGUGGAUACCUUGGCAUUCAAAAGCGACGAAGGGCGUGACUACCGACGAAACGCUUCGGUGAGCUGGAAGUAAGCUGUGAUCCGGAGGUACCCGAAUAAGGAAACUUUAUAAAACUGUUUAUUGAAUAUAUAAAUAAAUAAGAGCGAACCCAGCAAACUGAAACAUCUUAGUAGCUGGAGGAAAAGAAAGCAAAAGCGAUUCUCCUAGUAGCGGCGAGCGAAAAGGGAUCAGCCUAAACCAUUUAAAUUCGUUUAAAUGGGGUCGAGGGACAGUGUGAAAAAAUAGUAUAGUUAGGUGAAAUAGUUGGAAUCCUGUAUCAAAGAAGGUGAUAAUCCUGUAACCGAAAGCAUAUAUUAUUUUUACUGAAUCCCGAGUAGCAUGGGUCACGUGUAAUCCCGUGUGAAUCAGCGAGGACCAUCUCGUAAGGCUAAAUAUUACUGAAUGACCGAUAGUGAAAUAGUACCGUGAGGGAAAGGUGAAAAGAACCCCGGGAGGGGAGUGAAAUAGAACAUGAAACCGUAAGCUUACAAGCAGUGGGAGAAUGAUUGAUCGUUUUACCGCGUGCAUGUUGAAGAAUGAGCCGGCGACUUAUAGGUAGUGGCAGGUUAAGGUAGAGAAUACUGGAGCCAUAGUGAAAGCGAGCUUUAACAGAGCGUAAGUCACUAUUUAUAGACCCGAACCCGGAUGAUCUAGCCAUGGCCAGGGUGAAGCUUAGGUAACACUAAGUGGAGGUCCGAACUGACUAAUGUUGAAAAAUUAGCAGAUGAGCUGUGGUUAGGGGUGAAAUGCCAAUCGAAUCCGGAGCUAGCUGGUUCUCCCCGAAAUGCGUUGAGGCGCAGCAGUUAGUGCUCAAUCUUAGGGGUAAAGCACUGUUUCGGUGCGGGCUGUGAAAACGGUACCAAAUCGAGGCAAACUCUGAAUACUAAGUGUGUAACUAACUAGUGAGACAGUGGGGGAUAAGCUUCAUUGUCAAAAGGGAAACAGCCCAGACCACUAGCUAAGGCCCCUAAAUAUUUACUAAGUGAUAAAGGAAGUAGGAAUGCAUAAACAACCAGGAGGUUUGCUUAGAAGCAGCGAUCCUUUAAAGAGUGCGUAAUAGCUCACUGGUCAAGUGAUCCUGCGCCGAAAAUGAAUGGGACUAAGUACUUUGCCGAAGCUGUGGGAUAUUAAAAUCGGUAGGGGAGCGUUCUGUAUUAGAUAGAAGCGUUAGCGUAAGCAGACGUGGACAAAGCAGAAGUGAGAAUGUCGGCUUGAGUAGCGAAAACAUUGGUGAGAAUCCAAUGCCCCGAAAACCUAAGGUUUCCUCUGGAAGGUUCGUCCGCGGAGGGUGAGUCAGGACCUAAGGCGAGGCUGAAAAGCGUAGUCGAUGGACAACAGAUUAAUAUUUCUGUACUAUAUAUAAUUGAUAUCGAGGGACGAAGAAGGCUAGAUCAGCCAGAUGUUGGUUACUGGUUUAAGCUUUAAAGACGAUGACAAAUGGUGAAAACAUUUUGAGUUAAGGAGUGAGUACAAAGUGCUCAGGCACUAAAGUGAUUGAUGCCAUACUUCCUAGAAAAGCUCGGAAUAUCUCAAAUUAUAUGUACCUGUACCAUAAACUGACACAAGUGGGUAAGUAGAGAAUACUAAGGGGCGCGAGAUAACUCUCUCUAAGGAACUCGGCAAAAUAGCCCCGUAACUUCGGGAGAAGGGGUGCCCUUUACAGGGCUGCAAUAACUAGGCCCAAGCGACUGUUUAUCAAAAACACAGGUCUCCGCUAAGUUGUAAGACGAUGUAUGGAGCUGACGCCUGCCCAGUGCCGGAAGGUUAAGGAAGUUGGUUAGUUAUAAAACAAAGCUAGCGACUGAAGCCCCGGUAAACGGCGGCCGUAACUAUAACGGUCCUAAGGUAGCGAAAUUCCUUGUCGGGUAAGUUCCGACCUGCACGAAUGGCGUAACGAUUUGGCCACUGUCUCAGACAGAGACUCAGUGAAAUUGAAUUCUCUGUGAAGAUGCGGAGUACCUGCACCUAGACGGAAAGACCCCAUGAACCUUUACUGUAGCCUGAAAUUGGAAUCGGGCUUACUUUGCGCAGCAUAGGUGGGAAGCUAAGAUUAUAUGUUUGUGGAUGUAUAAGAGCUGUCAGUGAGAUACCACUCUAAGUAAGCUAGAUUUCUAACUUUGAUUGCCGUUAUCCGGCCAAGGAACAGUUUCAGGUGGGCAGUUUGACUGGGGCGGUCGCCUCCUAAAAGGUAACGGAGGCGUACAAAGGUUCCCUCAGGCUGGUCGGAAAUCAGUCGUAGAGUAUAAAGGCAUAAGGGAGCUUGACUGCGAGACUCACAAGUCAAGCAGAGACGAAAGUCGGUCAUAGUGAUCCGGUGGUUCCGAAUGGAAGGGCCAUCGCUCAACGGAUAAAAGGUACUCCGGGGAUAACAGGCUGAUCUCGCCCAAGAGUUCAUAUCGACGGCGAUGUUUGGCACCUCGAUGUCGGCUCAUCGCAUCCUGGGGCUGAAGUAGGUCCCAAGGGUUUGGCUGUUCGCCCAUUAAAGCGGUACGCGAGCUGGGUUUAGAACGUCGUGAGACAGUUCGGUCCCUAUCUGGUGUGGGCGCUAGAGUAUUGAGAGGAGCUCUCCUUAGUACGAGAGGACCAGGAGAGACGCACCUCUGGUGUACCAGUUAUUGUGCCAACAGUAAACGCUGGGUAGCUAAGUGCGGUGUGGAUAACCGCUGAAAGCAUCUAAGUGGGAAGCCCACCUCAAGAUGAGUACUCUAUCUGUAAUAACAGAUAAGAUCACGGUGAGACUAACCGUUUGAUAGGCGUUAAGUGUAAGUAUAGUAAUAUAUUCAGCUGAGACGUACUAAUAGAUCGAAAGUUUAGUGAA
RNAcentral lists this ribosomal RNA (2878 nucleotides) under Rhodogorgon sp. Its description in RNAcentral is "bacterial LSU rRNA". It matches the Rfam family "Bacterial large subunit ribosomal RNA". The record is from RNAcentral. Lineage: Eukaryota; Rhodophyta; Florideophyceae; Rhodogorgonales; Rhodogorgonaceae.